GACGAACGCUGGCGGCGUGCUUAACACAUGCAAGUCGAACGGAAAGGCCCUGCUUUUGUGGGGUGCUCGAGUGGCGAACGGGUGAGUAACACGUGAGUAACCUGCCCUUGACUUUGGGAUAACUUUAGGAAACUGGGGCUCAUACCGGAUAGGAGCUCCUGCUGCAUGGUGGGGGUUGGAAAGUUUCGGCGGUUGGGGCUGGACUCGCGGGUUAUCAGCUUGUUGGUGGGGUUGUGGAUUACCAAGGGUUUGACGGGUAGCCGGCCUGAGAGGGUGACCGGCGACAAUGGGACUGAGGUACGGCCCAGACUCCUACGGGAGGCAGCAGGCGGGAGUAUUGCAGAGUGGGGGGAAGCCUGAUGCAGCAACGCCGCGUGCGGGAUGACGGCCUUCGGGUUGUAAACCGCUUUCGCCUGUGACGAAGCGUGAGUGACGGUAAUGGGUAAAGAAGCACCGGCUAACUACGUG
This 468-nucleotide ribosomal RNA is filed under the name uncultured bacterium. RNAcentral's name for it is "partial 16S ribosomal RNA". It matches the Rfam family "Bacterial small subunit ribosomal RNA", at positions 28 to 507 of the family's 1533-position model. The record is from RNAcentral.